Non-coding RNA from Phrynosoma platyrhinos (Desert horned lizard), 71 nucleotides. The record is from the annotation of a GenBank genome assembly. NCBI's taxonomy places the organism in Eukaryota, Metazoa, Chordata, Lepidosauria, Squamata, Phrynosomatidae.
GCCAUAGUGGCGUAGUGGUUUGAGUGUUGGACUACAACUCUGGAGACCAGGGUUCAAAUCCUCAUUUGGCC